AUUGAACGCUGGCGGCAGGCCUAACACAUGCAAGUCGAGCGGCAGCGGGAAAGUAGCUUGCUACUUUUGCCGGCGAGCGGCGGACGGGUGAGUAAUGCCUGGGGAUCUGCCCAGUCGAGGGGGAUAACUACUGGAAACGGUAGCUAAUACCGCAUACGCCCUACGGGGGAAAGCAGGGGACCUUCGGGCCUUGCGCGAUUGGAUGAACCCAGGUGGGAUUAGCUAGUUGGUGAGGUAACGGCUCACCAAGGCGACGAUCCCUAGCUGGUCUGGGAGGAUGAGCAGCCACACUGGAACUGAGACACGGUCCAGACUCCUACGGGAGGCAGCAGUGGGGAAUAUUGCACAAUGGGGGAAACCCUGAUGCAGCCAUGCCGCGUGUGUGAAGAAGGCCUUCGGGUUGUAAAGCACUUUCAGCGAGGAGGAAAGGUCAGUAGCUAAUAUCUGCUGGCUGUGACGUUACUCGCAGAAGAAGCACCGGCUAACUCUGUGCCAGCCGCCGCCGUAA
RNAcentral lists this ribosomal RNA (508 nucleotides) under uncultured bacterium. RNAcentral describes it as "partial 16S ribosomal RNA". It matches the Rfam family "Bacterial small subunit ribosomal RNA", at positions 29 to 523 of the family's 1533-position model. The record is from RNAcentral.